AUUGAACGCUGGCGGCAGGCCUAACACAUGCAAGUCGAACGAGUGGCGGACGGGUGAGUAAUGUCUGGGAAAUUGCCCGAUGGAGGGGGAUAACUACUGGAAACAGUAGCUAAUACCGCAUACCAUCAGAUGUGCCCAGAUGGGAUUAGCUUGUUGGUGGGGUAACGGCUCACCAAGGCAACGACCCCUAGCUGGUGUGAGAGGAGGACCAGCCACACUGGAACUGAGACACGGUCCAGACUCCUACGGGAGGCAGCAGUGGGGAAUGUUGGACAAUGGGGGAAAGCCUAAUGCAGCCAUGCCGCGUGUAUGAGGAAGGCCUUCGGGUUGUAAAGUACUUUCGGCGGGGAGGCGGUACCCGCAGAAGAAGCACCGGCUAACUACGUGCCAGCAGCCGCGGUAAUUC
RNAcentral lists this ribosomal RNA (406 nucleotides) under uncultured bacterium. RNAcentral describes it as "partial 16S ribosomal RNA". It matches the Rfam family "Bacterial small subunit ribosomal RNA", at positions 30 to 526 of the family's 1533-position model. The record is from RNAcentral.